GAUGAAGAACGCAGCAAAAUGCGAUAAGUAAUGUGAAUUGCAGAAUUCAGUGAAUCAUCGAAUCUUUGAACGCACAUUGCGCCCGCCAGUAUUCUGGCGGGCAUGCCUGUUCGAGCGUCAUUUCAACCCUCAAGCCCUCGGGUUUGGUGUUGGGGAUCGGCGAGCCUUUCUGGCAAGCCAGCCCCGAAAUCUAGUGGCGGUCUCGCUGCAGCCUCCAUUGCGUAGUAGUAAAACCCUCGCAACUGGAACGCGGCGCGGCCAAGCCGUUAAACCCCCAACUUCUGAAUGUUGACCUCGGAUCAGGUAGGAAUACCCGCUGAACUUAAGCAUAUCAAUAAGCGGAGGA
Molecule: unclassified non-coding RNA, 346 nt
Filed under: soil metagenome
Description: partial contains 5.8S ribosomal RNA, internal transcribed spacer 2, and large subunit ribosomal RNA
Rfam family: 5.8S ribosomal RNA (bases 1-120)
Source: RNAcentral